GGGAGGGGCUGGGAAGCUAGGCUCGCAGCGGUCCUGCUCGGGUCCUGAGGCACCGAGGAGGUCGUCUGGUUGUCGCUCCUGCCACGCUCUGACUUCCUCUGUACAGGCCACCAGCGUCCUCCACCUGGACUAUCGUGGUUUUGUGCUCACUAGUCUUUCGGCCUCGGGCUUUGCCCCUCCCCCAUCUCGACCUUGCCACGGGAGAGCGGGAUCUUUGCCACCGGCCACUCCUACCACCUUUCCCCGAGGUCCAGCCUACCUGAAUUGCUUUCAGUUCUCCGAGGCAGGAGAAUCCACCUAGCUUCUGCAAUAUUUCCCGGUCUCCUGCUUUCUGAAGACGUGGCUUCCCUCCCUUCCCUCACCUAGCUCAAAGUGAAGGACCAGUUUGCAUCCCUACGUCCACCGUGCACCCAGCAACCUACGCUGCUGUUGCCUGUUGUGCCGCCAGAGUGUUAACAUCCCACAGCAGCUCUUCCUGCCUCCUGCUCACCAUUGUUCCCAAUUCCCAGGAUGGUCCUGGGCAGUACUGGUCGGAGCCCAGUAACCCUUUAAAUUCUUAAAUACAUAGU
Long non-coding RNA from Neogale vison (American mink), 569 nucleotides. RefSeq lists it as uncharacterized. The record is from RefSeq and is a predicted model, not a curated record. Lineage: Eukaryota; Metazoa; Chordata; Mammalia; Carnivora; Mustelidae. The transcript has 3 exons.